GACGAACGCUGGCGGCGUGCUUAACACAUGCAAGUCGAACGGAAAGGCCCUGCUUGUGUGGGGUGUUCGAGUGGCGAACGGGUGAGAAACACGGGAGUAACCUGCCCUGGGCGUUGGGAUAACUGCAGGAAACUGCGGCUACUACAGGAGAGGAGCGCCUGCAGCAGGGUGGGGUUCGGAAAGUUUAGGCGGAUGUGGAUGGACUCGCGGCUUAUCAGCUUGUGGGGGGGGUAGUGGCUUACCAAGGCUUUGACGGGUAGCCGGCCCGAGAGGGUGAACGCGGACAUUGGGACUGAGAGACGGACCAGACUGCAACGGGAGACAGCAGUGGGGAAUAUUGCACAAUGAGCGGAAGUGUGAUGCAGCAACGCCGCGUGCGGGAUGACGGCCUUCGGGUUGUAAACCGCUUUAGCCUGUGACGAAGCGUGAGUGACGGUAAUGGGUAAAGAAGCACCGGCUAACUACGUG
Molecule: ribosomal RNA, 468 nt
Filed under: uncultured bacterium
Lineage: Bacteria
Description: partial 16S ribosomal RNA
Rfam family: Bacterial small subunit ribosomal RNA
Source: RNAcentral